Non-coding RNA from Vicugna pacos (alpaca), 1982 nucleotides. The record is from RefSeq and is a predicted model, not a curated record. Lineage: Eukaryota; Metazoa; Chordata; Mammalia; Artiodactyla; Camelidae.
UCUGUGCGAUGUCAACCCCUCCCACCCAGGGCUUCAGCCUCCGCAGGGACGUCUACACCGACAUCCCCUCCCUCCUGAAUACCCUGCUGAAGGUGGAGGAGUGGGCGCUGGUGCUGCCCCAGAGGCCUGACACCCACCAGGUCCGAAUUCCCUGGUCGGACUUUUUUGAUCUUCGAGUCUGAACGGAAGCAUCCCCGUCACUGAGUACAGGCAGUUGACUGCAGGUUUGCCCUUUCCCCAGUACCGUGGUGAGCUAAGUCACAGAUGUUGGAACACCGAACCGCCCCUGCCUUCCUGAUGUGUGAUGCUGGACCCAGCGGAGACCCUCCUGCACGACCACUCCUGCGGGACGGAGCGCUGGGACAUGAGUGCUGCCUGGCAAGCGCCCGCACCCUCCUGUAGUUCUGCAAAACCCGAGACACUCGGCCCCUCUUGUUUUCAGCCUCGCGGCCUGAAGUUCAGAGGUCCCGGGGCCGUUCUUCCCUGAAGAUUAAGUGGAAACGUCCGUCUGCUAAGAGUCCGCCGGAGGAGGUGGAGCCCUGGGACUGCCUCUGCCUCAGAGCAGUGCAGACGGGGGCAGGUGUCCGGAGAGCGCGGGAGGCGUGUGGAGCGGCCCCUCAGCUCACCUGGGUGACGGUGAUGGUAACGCAGAGCCUGGGCUGCUCCGAGGCCCCGGCAGGACCGAGCCGCCGGAGACGCGCCGGGUGAGGAGCUUCGUCUCCGGGCUCCCUCCUCCCUUUCCCUUCCGUGCUCCCCAGGGGAGCUUUCCAGGCCACGCGUCACCCCUUCAAGUUCCCCCAGGCACUUGAGAGGUGGCUUUGCUCUUCCGGUUUCCUGUGCUUUCUGUGAAAGAACUUCAGGCCCCUGCGUUUGGGGGGAGAGCAUCUAAGUGUCACCAGCGUGUUCCCUAAGUGUUCUUUUCCAAAGCUGGUAUUCCUGGACGGGACCCAUGAGAUUCCCCCAUGAGAUUCCAUGUAUUCCUGGAGGGCAUCCCCACGCCCGGGCGUAAAGCAGCAUUAAUUGCCCCCCUUUGGCUGGGAAUCUUAGACCCCAGGCCUGUGACCCCGACUGCGGGCCCUCAGCCCCCCGGGCCGUUUCCCCAGGACCUCAGGAAGCCUCCUGGUGGCUGCCCUGCCAGCUCGGGCUUCCUGAAGUGCGCGUGCAGAGGAGACCCCCCGCCUAGUAGUGCGACCUUAGAAGGGCAGCAAUUCGCAGCUCUCACGUAACAGUUCCCCUGUCCAUCCAAAAACUGCUUCAAAGGUUCACGAUGGCUUUAAAGUCUGGCUGCCUGUCACCAGCCUUCAGUGCAACAACCCGAUCCCGGCCGAGUACCUAGAAAAGACGCUGAAGACGCCCUACAACUGAGAAGUUUGUUCAGAUGGGAAGGUGAAUGCAGUUCCUUGGUUUUUAGUGGAAGCCGCUCCCCCUUUACCAACAGCGCCCUUCGGGGCUGACUCAGUGUCCCCAUCACGCAUCUCCGUCGUGACAGCCUCCUAACCUUAGUUGGUUACUGAGUCCAGCCUCGCCGCACGACAGGCCAGUCAGACUGGGAGAUGAGGUGCUGGGGCGAGGAAUAGCAAGUUUAUUCAGAAAGCCGGCAGGCGGAGAAGAUGGGGCCUGAUGUCCUGGAGAACCACCUUCUCCACGUCAGAAUCCAGGCUCCUUUUACAGUGAGAAAGGGGGGCGGCGUGGUUGGUCGUUGCAAGCUGCUUGGUGUCAGAGCCCUUUGUCCUUGCAGCUGUCCACGUGGGCCAGGUCCUGGUGUCCCUGUAAGCCCCCAGCAAGACAGAUGUCCUCUGUUCUGCAACUUGUUAUCUUCAUGUGAAUGGAGAAGUGCUAAUAUCCUCAAAGGUCUGAGCCUGGAGAAUAGGCUCUCCUGUGCAUUUCAGGCUAAAGGCAACGCUGUUUCGCAGAAGGCGCAGAGCCAGCGAGACUGAGCCUAGAAGACAGGGCACAGGGUUAAAGCUAACAGAAUAGAUCUG